Molecule: ribosomal RNA, 433 nt
Filed under: uncultured bacterium
Lineage: Bacteria
Description: partial 16S ribosomal RNA
Rfam family: Bacterial small subunit ribosomal RNA
Source: RNAcentral
GACGAACGCUGGCGGCAUGCCUAACACAUGCAAGUCGAACGAGACCUUCGGGUCUAGUGGCGCACGGGUGCGUAACGCGUGGGAACCUGCCCUUAGGUUCGGAAUAACUCCCCGAAAGGGGUGCUAAUACCGGAUAAUGUCUUCGGACCAAAGAUUUAUCGCCUUUGGAUGGGCCCGCGUUGGAUUAGCUAGUUGGUAGGGUAAAAGCCUACCAAGGCGACGAUCCAUAGCUGGUCUGAGAGGAUGAUCAGCCACACUGGGACUGAGACACGGCCCAGAAUCCUACGGGAGGCAGCAGUGGGGAAUAUUGGACAAUGGGCGAAAGCCUGAUCCAGCAAUGCCGCGUGAGUGAUGAAGGCCUUAGGGUUGUAAAGCUCUUUUACCCGGGAUGAUAAUGACAGUACCGGGAGAAUAAGCUCCGGCUAACUCCGUG